AGAGUUUGAUCAUGGCUCAGGAUGAACGCUAGCUACAGGCUUAACACAUGCAAGUCGAGGGGCAGCAUGGUCUUAGCUUGCUAAGACCGAUGGCGACCGGCGCACGGGUGAGUAACGCGUAUCCAACCUGCCUUACACUCUUGGACAGCCUUCUGAAAGGGAGAUUAAUACAAGAUGUUAUCAUGAGUAAGCAUUUUCACAUGAUUAAAGGUUUACCGGUGUAAGAUGGGGAUGCGUUCCAUUAGAUAGUAGGCGGGGUAACGGCCCACCUAGUCUUCGAUGGAUAGGGGUUCUGAGAGGAACGGUCCCCACAUUGGAACUAGAGACACGGUACCAACUCCUACGGGAGGCA
This 352-nucleotide ribosomal RNA is filed under the name uncultured bacterium. Its description in RNAcentral is "bacterial SSU rRNA". It matches the Rfam family "Bacterial small subunit ribosomal RNA", at positions 8 to 350 of the family's 1533-position model. The record is from RNAcentral.